This 264-nucleotide ribosomal RNA is filed under the name Clostridioides difficile. RNAcentral describes it as "partial 23S ribosomal RNA". It matches the Rfam family "Bacterial large subunit ribosomal RNA", at positions 2659 to 2925 of the family's 2925-position model. Lineage: Bacteria; Bacillati; Bacillota; Clostridia; Peptostreptococcales; Peptostreptococcaceae. The record is from RNAcentral.
AAUUUGAGAAGACCUGUCCUUAGUACGAGAGGACCGGGAUGGACGUACCUCUGGUGUACCAGUUGUUCUGCCAAGGGCAUGGCUGGGUAGCUAUGUACGGAAUGGAUAAGCGCUGAAAGCAUCUAAGCGCGAAGCCAACUUCAAGAUAAGAUUUCCCACCGCAAGGGUAAGACCCCAGAAAGACUAUCUGGUUGAUAGGUCGAAGGUGUAAGUGCAGCAAUGUAUUUAGCUUAUCGAUACUAAUAGGUCGAGGACUUGACCAAU